This 524-nucleotide ribosomal RNA is filed under the name uncultured bacterium. RNAcentral's name for it is "partial 16S ribosomal RNA". It matches the Rfam family "Bacterial small subunit ribosomal RNA", at positions 29 to 523 of the family's 1533-position model. The record is from RNAcentral.
AACGAACGCUGGCGGCGUGCCUAACACAUGCAAGUCGAACGGUGUAUCUGCUGUAGCAAUACAGUAGAUACGUAGUGGCGCACGGGUGAGUAACACGUGAGUGAUCUGCCUCCAAGCCCGGGAUAACCUGCCGAAAGGCGGGCUAAUACCGGAUGAGGCCACAGUCCCUUCGGGGACAGGGGUUGAAGGUGCCUGGGUAACCAGGUACCACUUGGAGAUGAGCUCGCGGCCCAUCAGCUAGUUGGUAAGGUGACGGCUUACCAAGGCUAUGACGGGUAGCUGGUCUGAGAGGACGACCAGCCACACUGGAACUGAGACACGGUCCAGACUCCUACGGGAGGCAGCAGUGGGGAAUAUUGCGCAAUGGGGGAAACCCUGACGCAGCAACGCCGCGUGGGUGAUGAAGGCCUUCGGGUCGUAAAGCCCUGUCAGCAGGGAAGGAACUCCGGGGAGCGAAUAGGUCUCCGGAUUGACGGUACCUGCGGAGGAAGCACCGGCUAACUCCGUGCCAGCCGCCGCCGUAA